ACGCUCGACACCUACGGGAGGCGGCAGUGGGGAAUAUUGCACAAUGGGGGAAACCCUGAUGCAGCGACGCCGCGUGAGCGAAGAAGUAUUUCGGUAUGUAAAGCUCUAUCAGCAGGGAAGAAACUGACGGUACCUGACUAAGAAGCACCGGCUAAAUACGUGCAGCAGCCGCGGUAAUCUGAGGCGGGCUGGACAAGGC
Molecule: ribosomal RNA, 199 nt
Filed under: uncultured bacterium
Lineage: Bacteria
Description: partial 16S ribosomal RNA
Rfam family: Bacterial small subunit ribosomal RNA
Source: RNAcentral